UCCUACCAGCACGAGCUGCUUUUACUGCUGUUGGUCACCUGUGAAAGGCGGUCUAAAGCGCUGGCGCUCGCUGUGAUUGGCUGCGCGGCCCGUCACUCAGCGGCUGUUGGCGGUGAUUGGGCGGAGCGGCGACAGUGGCGCCGAUAGUGAAACCACUUUGGAGGAGAAGGGAGGAGACGGAGCCGCUGUCGCUUCUCGCCCAGAGGGGCCGAUCGCGGCAUAGUAGCGAGAGCUUUGUGGCCGGUGCCGAGAGCCAAGGAGGCUGGAGCGUGCGUGUGGCGGCAGCGCUGCGUCCCCCCUGGCUGGCAGCAAUCCUUGAAGCGCGGACGGUGCCUGGCGGGACGGUGCCGGAGCUGCAGUGAGCGAUGAGGUUGGAUCCUGCCCUUGCCGACCCUUUGCCAGCACUAACGGGCGCUCCAGGGCCAGAAUCUCUGCACCACGUGCCGUUAGCCCCUGAAUCUGUGACUACUCUGUGGCAAGAGAACAACGGGUCCUACGUCACUGAAGGAGUCCAAGAGCAGCCCCUGGACGAAGCGGGCUCCCCCGGCAGAGUCGGGCGUGGGUCUGCUGUGUCGUCAGGCACGAAUGUGUGCGUGCUGAUAGGUGAACUGUGCAGACCCCGUCGAUGGCACCUCCGAGCGCUGGCUGUGAGCGCGGCCAUGAACAUCAUUCUGCUUGUUUGCAUUGCUGCAGGGGCARCGAGCUGGCGUAGCGACCCCCAAACUGCUGGCACUGCUGCCACUGUGCUGGGCUGCCAAGACGGCUGGAUCGGCUACCGCAGGAUCUGCUACUACAUCUCUUGGGAGAAGGGGAGCUGGGAGUCGAGCCAGCGCGCCUGCUCCUCGCUGGGGGCCUCGCUGGCUGUGCUGAAGCGGGA
RNAcentral lists this long non-coding RNA (877 nucleotides) under Apteryx rowi (Okarito brown kiwi). RNAcentral's name for it is "lncRNA (ENSARWG00000003648.1)". The record is from RNAcentral. Lineage: Eukaryota; Metazoa; Chordata; Aves; Apterygiformes; Apterygidae.